Small nucleolar RNA from Quercus robur (English oak), 86 nucleotides. RefSeq annotates it as small nucleolar RNA snoR116. NCBI's taxonomy places the organism in Eukaryota, Viridiplantae, Streptophyta, Magnoliopsida, Fagales, Fagaceae. The record is from RefSeq and is a predicted model, not a curated record. The transcript has a single exon.
AGGCAGUGAGGAUGAUGUCAAUACCAUCAAACUAUGAAAGCUUUAAGGCUUGUAGAUGUCAUAAGAAAUGAUUUCUCUUUGAUCCC